UCAGCAACUCGUUUCGCCAUUUUGAUGCGGAGCUUUUCAAAAAUUCUUAUCUUUUUGAGACAGUCCUCUCAAAGAGACACGGAUUUUUGAAAAGCUCUGCAUCAAAAUGGCGAAACGAGUUGUCGA
RNAcentral lists this microRNA precursor (126 nucleotides) under Picea abies (Norway spruce). Its description in RNAcentral is "miR11542 stem-loop (pab-MIR11542)". Lineage: Eukaryota; Viridiplantae; Streptophyta; Pinopsida; Pinales; Pinaceae. The record is from miRBase by way of RNAcentral.